Molecule: long non-coding RNA, 279 nt
Filed under: Apteryx owenii (little spotted kiwi)
Lineage: Eukaryota; Metazoa; Chordata; Aves; Apterygiformes; Apterygidae
Description: lncRNA (ENSAOWG00000001481.1)
Source: RNAcentral
GUUAUGAGCUCCUUUGAGGGAGAAAAAUCUUCAAUUCAAAGGCGUGGGGAGGAAGUGCCCAGCAAGAGACAGAGAUGAAAUUGCCAGUAAUGAUGGACGAGGAAGGUCCAUUAGAGUACUGCUGAGCAGAACCUGAGAGCAAAAGAGAUGAAUGGCCCUAGAUGACCAGGCUCCACUGAAAUCUUUGUGAUGUGGUUAUCUAUCUCUAAGGAGGCAGUAAGUGAAUCACCCGUGAAGUCUAGGAGAGAGCUGUGUAGGCCUGGAACAGCUGGAGCACAU